This 1257-nucleotide ribosomal RNA is filed under the name uncultured Acinetobacter sp. RNAcentral describes it as "bacterial SSU rRNA". It matches the Rfam family "Bacterial small subunit ribosomal RNA", at positions 76 to 1328 of the family's 1533-position model. The record is from RNAcentral. Lineage: Bacteria; Pseudomonadati; Pseudomonadota; Gammaproteobacteria; Moraxellales; Moraxellaceae.
UAGCUUGCUACCUGACCUAGCGGCGGACGGGUGAGUAAUGCUUAGGAAUCUGCCUAUUAGUGGGGGACAACAUUCCGAAAGGAAUGCUAAUACCGCAUACGCCCUACGGGGGAAAGCAGGGGAUCUUCGGACCUUGCGCUAAUAGAUGAGCCUAAGUCAGAUUAGCUAGUUGGUGGGGUAAAGGCCUACCAAGGCGACGAUCUGUAGCGGGUCUGAGAGGAUGAUCCGCCACACUGGGACUGAGACACGGCCCAGACUCCUACGGGAGGCAGCAGUGGGGAAUAUUGGACAAUGGGCGAAAGCCUGAUCCAGCCAUGCCGCGUGUGUGAAGAAGGCCUUUUGGUUGUAAAGUACUUUAAGCGAGGAGGAGGCUACUUGGAUUAAUACUCUAGGAUAGUGGACGUUACUCGCAGAAUAAGCACCGGCUAACUCUGUGCCAGCAGCCGCGGUAAUACAGAGGGUGCGAGCGUUAAUCGGAUUUACUGGGCGUAAAGCGUGCGUAGGCGGCUUUUUAAGUCGGAUGUGAAAUCCCUGAGCUUAACUUAGGAAUUGCAUUCGAUACUGGGAAGCUAGAGUAUGGGAGAGGAUGGUAGAAUUCCAGGUGUAGCGGUGAAAUGCGUAGAGAUCUGGAGGAAUACCGAUGGCGAAGGCAGCCAUCUGGCCUAAUACUGACGCUGAGGUACGAAAGCAUGGGGAGCAAACAGGAUUAGAUACCCUGGUAGUCCAUGCCGUAAACGAUGUCUACUAGCCGUUGGGGCCUUUGAGGCUUUAGUGGCGCAGCUAACGCGAUAAGUAGACCGCCUGGGGAGUACGGUCGCAAGACUAAAACUCAAAUGAAUUGACGGGGGCCCGCACAAGCGGUGGAGCAUGUGGUUUAAUUCGAUGCAACGCGAAGAACCUUACCUGGUCUUGACAUAGUAAGAACUUUCCAGAGAUGGAUUGGUGCCUUCGGGAACUUACAUACAGGUGCUGCAUGGCUGUCGUCAGCUCGUGUCGUGAGAUGUUGGGUUAAGUCCCGCAACGAGCGCAACCCUUUUCCUUAUUUGCCAGCGGGUUAAGCCGGGAACUUUAAGGAUACUGCCAGUGACAAACUGGAGGAAGGCGGGGACGACGUCAAGUCAUCAUGGCCCUUACGACCAGGGCUACACACGUGCUACAAUGGUCGGUACAAAGGGUUGCUACCUAGCGAUAGGAUGCUAAUCUCAAAAAGCCGAUCGUAGUCCGGAUUGGAGUCUGCAACUCGACUCCAUGAAGUCG